This 73-nucleotide transfer RNA is filed under the name Patescibacteria group bacterium. RNAcentral's name for it is "tRNA-Thr". It matches the Rfam family "tRNA". From Rfam's summary of the family: Transfer RNA (tRNA) molecules are approximately 80 nucleotides in length. Their secondary structure includes four short double-helical elements and three loops (D, anti-codon, and T loops). The record is from RNAcentral.
GCCGGCAUAGCUCAGUUGGCAGAGCACUUCUUUUGUAAAGAAGAUGUCCGGGGUUCGAUCCCUCGUGCCGGCU